GAUGAGCGCUGGCGGCGUGCCUAAUACAUGCAAGUCGAGCGAACAGACGAGGAGCUUGCUCCUCUGACGUUAGCGGCGGACGGGUGAGUAACACGUGGAUAACCUACCUAUAAGACUGGGAUAACUUCGGGAAACCGGAGCUAAUACCGGAUAAUAUAUUGAACCGCAUGGUUCAAUAGUGAAAUACGGUUUUGCUGUCACUUAUAGAUGGAUCCGCGCCGCAUUAGCUAGUUGGUAAGGUAACGGCUUACCAAGGCAACGAUGCGUAGCCGACGUGAGAGGGUGAUCGGCCACACUGGAACGGGGACACGGUCCAGACUCCUACGGGAGGCAGCAGUAGGGAAUCUUCCGCAAUGGGCGAAAGCCUGACGGAGCAACGCCGCGUGAGUGAUGGAGGUCUUCGGAUCGUAAAACUCUGUUAUUAGGGAAGAACAAAUGUGUAAGUAACUAUGCACGUCUUGACGGUACCUAAUCAGAAAGCCACGGCUAACUACGUG
Molecule: ribosomal RNA, 497 nt
Filed under: uncultured bacterium
Lineage: Bacteria
Description: partial 16S ribosomal RNA
Rfam family: Bacterial small subunit ribosomal RNA
Source: RNAcentral